GAUGAACGCUGGCGGCGUGCCUAAUGCAUGCAAGUCGAGCGAACAGAUAAGGAGCUUGCUCCUUUGACGUUAGCGGCGGACGGGUGAGUAACACGUGGGUAACCUACCUAUAAGACUGGAAUAACUCCGGGAAACCGGGGCUAAUGCCGGAUAACAUUUAGAACCGCAUGGUUCUAAAGUGAAAGAUGGUUUUGCUAUCACUUAUAGAUGGACCCGCGCCGUAUUAGCUAGUUGGUAAGGUAACGGCUUACCAAGGCAACGAUACGUAGCCGACCUGAGAGGGUGAUCGGCCACACUGGAACUGAGACACGGUCCAGACUCCUACGGGAGGCAGCAGUAGGGAAUCUUCCGCAAUGGGCGAAAGCCUGACGGAGCAACGCCGCGUGAGUGAUGAAGGUCUUCGGAUCGUAAAACUCUGUUAUUAGGGAAGAACAAAUGUGUAAGUAACUGUGCACGUCUUGACGGUACCUAAUCAGAAAGCCACGGCUAACUACGUG
This 497-nucleotide ribosomal RNA is filed under the name uncultured bacterium. Its description in RNAcentral is "partial 16S ribosomal RNA". It matches the Rfam family "Bacterial small subunit ribosomal RNA", at positions 28 to 507 of the family's 1533-position model. The record is from RNAcentral.